CAGUCGCCACGGUAAUACAGAGGGUGCGAGCGUUAAUCGGAUUUACUGGGCGUAAAGCGUGCGUAGGCGGCUUCUUAAGUCGGAUGUGAAAUCCCUGAGCUUAACUUAGGAAUUGCAUUCGAUACUGGGAAGCUAGAGUAUGGGAGAGGAUGGUAGAAUUCCAGGUGUAGCGGUGAAAUGCGUAGAGAUCUGGAGGAAUACCGAUGGCGAAGGCAGCCAUCUGGCCUAAUACUGACGCUGAGGUACGAAAGCAUGGGGAGCAAACAGGAUUAGAUACCCCAGUAGUCCCUGUCUAUUAUAC
RNAcentral lists this ribosomal RNA (301 nucleotides) under uncultured bacterium. RNAcentral describes it as "partial 16S ribosomal RNA". It matches the Rfam family "Bacterial small subunit ribosomal RNA", at positions 509 to 807 of the family's 1533-position model. The record is from RNAcentral.